UUCUUAUCCUUUAAUUUUACCCACAACCAAAUAUUUAUCAUCAUGAAUCAUGUUGCGUUCCCUUUCUCCAACGUUCUUAUAUUUAUUUAAAGCCAUAUAUACCCUAUUGCCAAAAAUAACUUCUUACUAGAGUUUCCAUUUUGCUACCCAUCCAAGAUCAAAUAAGUCCAAAAUCAGUUCAGAAGAGGAAAUGGAAGCAGAAGCAACGCCAAACAAGGAUAUGAAGGUGGAGAUUAAUUCAUCGCCGGAGACUCCGUCAGAAAAUAUAUCGCCGACACUGGAGAAUUUUCCGAUGACGGGAGGAUUAGCAAGGCAAGGAAGUAUGACGAAGAACAGUUGUCUUUGCUCUCCAACGAUCCAUGCAGGUUCAUUCAGGUGCAGGCUUCAUCGUGCUCCGACUUCUAAUCCAAGUCUCCAGAGGACUAAAAAUAUUGAAUCAAAUCCUAAGGCUAAUCCCAAUGCUUAUAUAACUAGCUAGCAAUGGUAUUUCUAUAGUUCUAUCGGAGUCAUACUAAGAAGUACUGGAUUAUCAUAAUACUAGUAUUAUUGUUGAAUUUGUGGCCCAAUUGUUUUUUUUUUUUUUUAUGUAUGUUUAAUGUUGGUUGUAUUUCUUAUUUGUUGAUCUGUUAUUUGUGGUUUCACUCAGAUAUAGACACUGUAAAGAUUCGAGUUCAUAGAAUUAAUGAAAUGGCUUGGAGUAUGCAUGUAAAUGUAGAGAGCUUUUUCGUGUAUUGAAGAUAUUAAGGGAAAUUUA
Long non-coding RNA from Nicotiana tabacum (common tobacco), 754 nucleotides. RefSeq lists it as uncharacterized. NCBI's taxonomy places the organism in Eukaryota, Viridiplantae, Streptophyta, Magnoliopsida, Solanales, Solanaceae. The record is from RefSeq and is a predicted model, not a curated record.